RNAcentral lists this ribosomal RNA (731 nucleotides) under uncultured bacterium. Its description in RNAcentral is "bacterial SSU rRNA". It matches the Rfam family "Bacterial small subunit ribosomal RNA", at positions 771 to 1501 of the family's 1533-position model. The record is from RNAcentral.
AACAGGAUUAGAUACCCUGGUAGUCCACGCUGUAAACGAUGUCGACUUGGAGGUUGUGCCCUUGAGGCGUGGCUUCCGGAGCUAACGCGUCAAGUCGACCGCCUGGGGAGUACGGCCGCAAGGUUAAAACUCAAAUGAAUUGACGGGGGCCCGCACAAGCGGUGGAGCAUGUGGUUUAAUUCGAUGCAACGCGAAGAACCUUACCUACUCUUGACAUCCAGAGAAUUUGCUUGAGAUAGCUUAGUGCCUUCGGGAACUCUGAGACAGGUGCUGCAUGGCUGUCGUCAGCUCGUGUUGUGAAAUGUUGGGUUAAGUCCCGCAACGAGCGCAACCCUUAUCCUUUGUUGCCAGCACGUAAUGGUGGGAACUCAAAGGAGACUGCCGGUGAUAAACCGGAGGAAGGUGGGGAUGACGUCAAGUCAUCAUGGCCCUUACGAGUAGGGCUACACACGUGCUACAAUGGCAUAUACAAAGAGAAGCGAACUCGCGAGAGCAAGCGGACCUCAUAAAGUAUGUCGUAGUCCGGAUUGGAGUCUGCAACUCGACUCCAUGAAGUCGGAAUCGCUAGUAAUCGUAGAUCAGAAUGCUACGGUGAAUACGUUCCCGGGCCUUGUACACACCGCCCGUCACACCAUGGGAGUGGGUUGCAAAAGAAGUAGGUAGCUUAACCUUCGGGAGGGCGCUUACCACUUUGUGAUUCAUGACUGGGGUGAAGUCGUAACAAGGUAACC